GACGUAGGGGGCCAGCGUUGUUCGGAAUUACUGGGUGUAAAGGGUUCGUAGGCGGUGCGGCAAGUUGGGAGUGAAAUCUCUGGGCUUAACCCAGAGGCUGCUUCCAAAACUGCUGUGCUUGAGUGUGGGAGAGGCGCGUGGAAUUGCAGGUGUAGCGGUGAAAUGCGUAGAUAUCUGCAGGAACACCCGUGGCGAAAGCGGCGCGCUGGACCACUACUGACGCUGAGGAGCGAAAGCUAGGGGAGCAAACAGG
Molecule: ribosomal RNA, 253 nt
Filed under: uncultured bacterium
Lineage: Bacteria
Description: partial 16S ribosomal RNA
Rfam family: Bacterial small subunit ribosomal RNA
Source: RNAcentral